AUUUCACAUGAUGAAUACUUCAAAUUCUUGAUAGGAAGAGUAUGAAACACACAUGAGUACUAUAAAACUAGCUGAUAGCAAA
RNAcentral lists this small nucleolar RNA (82 nucleotides) under Bactrocera dorsalis (oriental fruit fly). RNAcentral's name for it is "Small nucleolar RNA Me28S-U3344". It matches the Rfam family "Small nucleolar RNA Me28S-U3344". Rfam says of the family: Me28S-Um3344 is a member of the C/D class of snoRNA which contain the C (UGAUGA) and D (CUGA) box motifs. Lineage: Eukaryota; Metazoa; Arthropoda; Insecta; Diptera; Tephritidae. The record is from Rfam by way of RNAcentral.